ACAGAGGGUGCAAGCGUUAAUCGGAAUUACUGGGCGUAAAGCGCACGUAGGCGGCAUGGCAAGUCAGGUGUGAAAGCCCCGGGCUUAACUCGGGAACUGCAUCUGAAACUGCUUUGCUUGAGUCCUGGAGGGGGUAGUGGAAUUCCCAGUGUAGCGGUGAAAUGCGUAGAUAUUGGGAGGAACACCGGUGGCGAAGGCGGCUACCUGGCUCGUAACUGACGCUCAUGCACGACAGCGUGGGGAUCAAACAGGA
Molecule: ribosomal RNA, 253 nt
Filed under: uncultured prokaryote
Description: partial 16S ribosomal RNA
Rfam family: Bacterial small subunit ribosomal RNA
Source: RNAcentral